RNAcentral lists this ribosomal RNA (411 nucleotides) under Triticum aestivum (bread wheat). RNAcentral describes it as "partial small subunit ribosomal RNA". The record is from RNAcentral. Lineage: Eukaryota; Viridiplantae; Streptophyta; Magnoliopsida; Poales; Poaceae.
AUGGCACGCAAUUUCUGCGGUGGUGCUGUGGCAGCAGUAUGCCGUGAUCACAUGGGGAAUUAUCUUGGAUCCUCGGCUAUGCUCUAGAGAGGGGUAACUGACCCAAACAUGAUGGAAACAUACGCAUGCAGGGAAGCGAUGGCACUUGCAGAUGAUCUACUAGUGCAGAAGAUAAAAGUGGCGUCCGACUGCCUGGGAGUGGUGACCGAUAUUAACAAGGGUACGGGAGGCUCCCAUGCAGCAGUAGUACAUGAAAUAAUGAACCAUAGUAGUAGUUUUGAUUCUUGCUUUUUUGUUCAUGAGCCACGGUACCAUAAUUUUGAGGCUCAUAAUCUCGCCAAGUUUGCUUGUAAUCUGAGUUUAGGUAGACAUGUGUGGCUCAUAAUCUCGCCAAGUUUGCUUGUAAUCUGA